This 444-nucleotide ribosomal RNA is filed under the name Fejervarya limnocharis (Boie's wart frog). Its description in RNAcentral is "partial 12S ribosomal RNA". Lineage: Eukaryota; Metazoa; Chordata; Amphibia; Anura; Dicroglossidae. The record is from RNAcentral.
CUAAAAAGUUCUAAAAGCACAAAGAUUUGGUCCUGGUCUUAUUGUCAGUUAUCUCUUGAUUUACACAUGCAAGUCUCAGCACACCCGUGAGGACGCCCUUCCCCCUUCUAUAGGACAAGGAGCUGAUAUCAGGCACAUCUACCGCCCACAACAUCUAGUCCGACCACACCCCCAAGGGUAUUCAGCAGUGAUAAACAUUGACCAUAAGCGACAGCUUGACUCAGUUAAAGAGAAGAGGGCCGGCCAACCCGGUGCCAGCCGCCGCGGCUAGACCCUAGGGCCCAAAUUGACAAAACUCGGCGUCAAUCGUGAUUAAAGUCUCCUAAAAUUAGAGUGGAACCUACUAUUAAGCCGUGAAAAGCAAUUUUUUUAGGGAAAAUCAGAAACGAAAGUUACUCUAAUGCACACUUGAACACACGACAACUGGGAAACAAACUGGGAUUA